RNAcentral lists this unclassified non-coding RNA (309 nucleotides) under Pholiota adiposa. Its description in RNAcentral is "partial internal transcribed spacer region". The stretch from base 1 to 46 matches the Rfam family "Eukaryotic small subunit ribosomal RNA", at positions 1786 to 1831 of the family's 1831-position model. Lineage: Eukaryota; Fungi; Basidiomycota; Agaricomycetes; Agaricales; Strophariaceae. The record is from RNAcentral.
AAGUCGUAACAAGGUUUCCGUAGGUGAACCUGCGGAAGGAUCAUUAUUGAAUGAACUUGGUAUGAUUGUUGCUGGCCCAUCUGGGCAUGUGCACGUCUGCCAUCUUUAUCUCUCCACCUGUGCACAUAUUGUAGGUCUGGAAUAAAUUUCUGAGGCAACUCAGUAGUGGGGAAUGCUGCUGUGAAGUGGCUUUGCCUGUAAUUUCAGAUCUAUGUUUUCAUAUACACCAUAAAAAUGUAACAGAAUGUAUUAAUGGGUCUUGUACCUAUAAACUAUAUACAACUUUCAGCAACGGAUCUCUUGGCUCUC